GCCACUGGUCCACAAGUUUAAUCCAAUAUACUUCUCUUUAAUCCAAUAUCCAAUAUACUUGCUUACUGGCAGAAUUAAUUGAUUCAGCCGUGAAGGGAACAAUCAACGUUCUUAGAUCAUGUGCAAAAGUUCCUUCUGUCAAGAGAGUGAUUGUAACAUCCUCAAUGGUUGCAGUCGCAUAUAAUGGAAAACCUCUGACCUUUGAUGUGGUAGUUGAUGAGACCUGGUUUUCAGAUGCACUUUUUUGUGAGAAAUUGAAGAGUUGGUAUAUAGUUUCAAAAACUUUAGCUGAGGAAGCUGCUUGGAGAUUUGCAAAAGAGAACGAAAUUGACUUGGUUACAAUAAAUCCAAGGAGCUCAAACAUUUCCCAAUCCAUUCUAUAGAUUUGUUGAUAUUAGAGAUGUUGCAAAUGCACAUAUUCAAGCACCUGAAGUUCCUUCAGCCACAGGCAGAUAUUGUUUAGUUGAAAUCGUUAUACACUGUUCUGAGGUUAUGAAGAUUUUGCAGAAACUGUACCCCACUUUUUGCCUUCC
Molecule: long non-coding RNA, 533 nt
Organism: Alnus glutinosa
Lineage: Eukaryota; Viridiplantae; Streptophyta; Magnoliopsida; Fagales; Betulaceae
Exons: 4
Source: RefSeq, a predicted model, not a curated record